Harpia harpyja (harpy eagle) is the source of this 373-nucleotide long non-coding RNA. RefSeq lists it as uncharacterized. The transcript has 3 exons. The record is from RefSeq and is a predicted model, not a curated record. Lineage: Eukaryota; Metazoa; Chordata; Aves; Accipitriformes; Accipitridae.
GCUACAGGUUUCGAUUCCUGAUUCAAUCACAGGCACAAGCUUCCCUGCCCUAUCUCAUUGUCAGGAGCACCUGGUUUUCCAGGAUUUCUGUGCUGCAGCAGGGCAAAUCCUUUUAUAAGGCUAAUGAAACCUCAUCCCUUGGUCUGAAUACAGUUGUGACUUUAUUGCAUAUGACCUGCAGCCCUACAAUAUCAUAGUAGUGCAGGGAAGUGUUGCCAUACCAGCCUAAGAAAGAAUGAAAUAAAUAUAAGGAGGUGAAUAUGCCCUACUCGGGAUACUGGUGUCCCGUUAGAAGAGAAAUCCAGCAUCCAGCCAUUGAUUGCCAUUGCUUCUGCAUGUAUUAUCCAGACCUUGUGCUCUGUGUAAGUUUUGC